RNAcentral lists this transfer RNA (62 nucleotides) under Dipodomys ordii (Ord's kangaroo rat). The record is from Rfam by way of RNAcentral. Lineage: Eukaryota; Metazoa; Chordata; Mammalia; Rodentia; Heteromyidae.
GGCACUGUGGCUCAAGUGGUAGGGCACCAGCCUUGAGCUGAAGAGCUGGAGGGACAGUGCCA